UACACAGAGAAACCCUGUCUCAAAAAAGCAAACAAAUCUGAAAAUGGGCAAGUUAAUAGACUGUAAAAUAAAGUUGAGCUGUAUGUGAUGACGAAUACCUUUGAUGCCAGCAUUCGAGGCAGGGGCAAGGCAGAGGGAUUUUAAUGAGUUGAAAGCCAUUCUGGUCUACCUUUCCAAGUAGUUUAGUUCCAAGACAGCCAGAUAUAAAGAAAUCCUACCUACAAAAAAGUCAGGCAGUGGUGACACAUGCCUUUAGUACCAGCAUUUGGGAGGCAGAAGCAAGUGGAUAUCUAUGAAUUCAAGGUCAGCCUAGUCUACAGAGAGUUCCAGGACAGCCAAGGCUAACACAGAGAAAACCUGUCUCAAAAACAUUUUUUUGAAAGGUCCCAGAAAACAGAAACUGUAAUAAUAGUCUCCAAGAUUUAGAACAAGAUGGGCCUACCAGAGCCUCUGAAAAUAGAGCCCACCCCCACUCCUGCACCCCUCAGGAGGUCACCCUGGCAGCCAGAAGUCCAAAUCAGUGCCUAUUCCACUUGUCAUCAGAGAAGUCUCCCUGAGCAUCUGAUGGGAGCAGAUGCAGAGACAAACAUUAGGCAAAAAAGAGCCCAAAUUGGAGAUCUCCAUCCAGUCCCUCCCCUUGGAACUUGGAAAACCCCCAAGGAAGAAUUGUAGGAGCCAGAGGAGGUGGAGAACACGGACCAUAGACUCAGUUAAGCAGGCUUCUAAGGGCUCACAGAGACUGAAGUAGCCAUCACAGAACCUGCAUGGGUCUUCGCUAGGUCCUUUGCAUAUAUGUUAUGGUUGUUAGCUUGGUGUUUUUGUGAUACUAACAGUGGGAAUGGGGGUGUCUCUGACUCUUUGCCUGCUCUUGGGACCUUUUUUUUCUCUUAUUGGGUUGCCUCUCCUAGCCCUGAUACGAGGGUUUAUGCCUAGUCUUAUUGUAUCUUGUUAUGCAGUGUUCCUCAGAUAUCCCCAAGAGGCCCACUCUUUUCUGAAGGGAAAUGGAGGAGCAGUGGA
This 1017-nucleotide long non-coding RNA is filed under the name Cricetulus griseus (Chinese hamster). RNAcentral's name for it is "lncRNA (ENSCGRG00000025145.1)". Lineage: Eukaryota; Metazoa; Chordata; Mammalia; Rodentia; Cricetidae. The record is from RNAcentral.